GUCUACAGCUAUGCUACCCCAUCUGAUCCCAUCUGAUCUUGGAAGCUAAGCAGGGUCAGGCCUGUUUAGUACUUGGAUGGGAGAUCACCUAAGAAGACCAAGUGCUGUAGGUG
RNAcentral lists this ribosomal RNA (113 nucleotides) under Pteropus alecto (black flying fox). The record is from RNAcentral. Lineage: Eukaryota; Metazoa; Chordata; Mammalia; Chiroptera; Pteropodidae.